This 674-nucleotide ribosomal RNA is filed under the name uncultured bacterium. Its description in RNAcentral is "bacterial SSU rRNA". It matches the Rfam family "Bacterial small subunit ribosomal RNA", at positions 1 to 639 of the family's 1533-position model. The record is from RNAcentral.
UCCCGCUCCGAAUGCUCCNAAUUAUUUUUUGAUCAUGGCUCAGAUUGAACGCUGGCGGCAGGCCUAACACAUGCAAGUCGAGCGGAUGACGGGAGCUUGCUCCUUGAUUCAGCGGCGGACGGGUGAGUAAUGCCUAGGAAUCUGCCUGGUAGUGGGGGACAACGUUUCGAAAGGAACGCUAAUACCGCAUACGUCCUACGGGAGAAAGCAGGGGACCUUCGGGCCUUGCGCUAUCAGAUGAGCCUAGGUCGGAUUAGCUAGUUGGUGAGGUAAUGGCUCACCAAGGCGACGAUCCGUAACUGGUCUGAGAGGAUGAUCGGCCACACUGGGACUGAGACACGGCCCAGACUCCUACGGGAGGCAGCAGUAGGGAAUCUUCCGCAAUGGACGAAAGUCUUGACGGAGCAACGCCGCGUUGAGUGAUUGAAGUGCUUUCGGGUCGUAAAACUCUGUUGGUUAGGGAAGAACCAAGGUUGCUAAGUUGAAUUAAAGCCUGGCACCUUGACGGUACCUAACCAGAAAGCCACGGCUAACUACGUGCCAGCAGCCGCGGUAAUACGUAGGUGGCAAGCGUUAUCCGGAAUUAUUGGGGCGUAAAGGCGCGCGCAGGUGGUUUCUUAAGUCUGAUGUGAAAGCCCACGGCUCAACCGUGGAGGGUCAUUGGAAACUGGGAG